ACAGCAGCAGCCGCGGUAAUACGUAGGUGGCGAGCGUUGUCCGGAAUCAUUGGGCGUAAAGGGAGCGCAGGCGGGCGUGUAAGUCUUUCUUAAAAGUGCGGGGCUCAACCCCGUGAUGGGAAAGAAACUACAUGUCUUGAGUACAGGAGAGGAAAGCGGAAUUCCCAGUGUAGCGGUGAAAUGCAUAGAUAUUGGGAGGAACACCAGUGGCGAAGGCGGCUUUCUGGAUUGCAACUGACGCUGAGGCUCGAAAGCCAGGGGAGCGAACGGGAUUAGAUACCCGGGUAGUCCCUGUCUCUUAUACC
Molecule: ribosomal RNA, 305 nt
Filed under: uncultured bacterium
Lineage: Bacteria
Description: partial 16S ribosomal RNA
Rfam family: Bacterial small subunit ribosomal RNA
Source: RNAcentral